AGCAAUACAACUGGUGGCGACCGGCGCACGGUGAGUAACGCGUAUGCAACCUACCUAUCAGAGGGGAAGUAACCCGGCGAAAGUCGGACUAAUACCGCAUAAACAGGGGCACCGCAUGGUGAUAUUUGUUAAAGAAAUUCGCUGAUAGAUGGGCAUGCGUUCCAUUAGGUAGUUGGUGAGGUAACGGCUCACCAAGCCGACGAUGGAUAGGGGAACUGAGAGGUUGGUCCCCCACACUGGUACUGAGACACGGACCAGACUCCUACGGGAGGCAGCAGUGAGGAAUAUUGGUCAAUGGGCGGGAGCCUGAACCAGCCAAGUCGCGUGAAGGAAGAAGGAUCUAUGGUUCGUAAACUUCUUUUGCAGGGGAAUAAAGUGCAGGACGUCGUCCUCGUUUUGUAUGUACCCUGAGAAUAAGGAUCGGCUAACUCCGUGCCAGCCGCCGC
Molecule: ribosomal RNA, 446 nt
Filed under: uncultured bacterium
Lineage: Bacteria
Description: bacterial SSU rRNA
Rfam family: Bacterial small subunit ribosomal RNA
Source: RNAcentral